Molecule: long non-coding RNA, 241 nt
Organism: Phyllostomus discolor (pale spear-nosed bat)
Lineage: Eukaryota; Metazoa; Chordata; Mammalia; Chiroptera; Phyllostomidae
Exons: 4
Source: RefSeq, a predicted model, not a curated record
AUGACUAUUCAGGCUACUCAGUGGGGAUUGUCGCUGGCAUCGUGAUUGGGGUUCUCGUCCUGGUGGCUCUGGGGACCUCCCUGGGGUGUUUCGUGUACCACAGGAGGACUGGGAGGGCCAGUGACCUACAAGGCCUCACAGAGCACCGACCCCCAGCGCCCACCCCUAGCCAGGGUCCCUCUGGAGCCUCCAUCUCCCCGGGCCCCCUCCCCGGGACCAGGACAGCCAGCCCCAUCUACGA